CGUCUAUAUACGUAUAGCAUAUCAAUAAGCGGAGGAAAAGAAACUAACAAGGAUUCCCUUAGUAACGGCGAGUGAAGCGGGAAGAGCUCAAAUUUGAAAUCUUCAAGGUUCUACCUUGACGAAUUGUAGUUUAUAGAAGUGUUUUCUGUUGGAGUUGGUAAAAGUUCUUUGGAAUAGGACAUCAUAGAGGGUGAGAAUCCCGUAUUUGGUCAUUCCUUCUAGCUUUGUGAUACACUUUCAAAGAGUCGGAUUGUUUGGGAAUGCAGUCCAAAAUGGGUGGUAAAUUUCAUCUAAAGCUAAAUAUUGGCGAGAGACCGAUAGCGAACAAGUACCGUGAGGGAAAGAUGAAAAGAACUUUGAAAAGAGAGUUAAACAGUACGUGAAAUUGUCAAAAGGGAAGCGUUUGACACCAGUGUUGUUUUUUCGAAAAUCAAUUAAGAAUGUUUUGAUUUUGAGUAGUUAUGACUUCAUCAGCUUGCUGCCUUUCUUUCAUGAACUUUCUUAAUGCACUUUUCGGUUAACAAGUCAACAUCAAUUUCUUUUGUUGUAAAAGAGUAUGAGGAAGGUGGCUUUCUUUUCGGAGAAAGUGUUUAUAGCCUUGUACUUCUGCAAUCGGAGAGAUUGAGGUCUGCAGCGUAGAUCCUUCGGGGUUAGAUACACUUGUGCUAAGUUAUAGCCUUUUCAUAGACAACUUGUUGAUUAUGUUCAGUCAUUGUAGCUUACUCGCUUGUGCUAUUUUACCUACGCUUAGGAUGUUGACACACGCGCGUGCUCG
RNAcentral lists this ribosomal RNA (775 nucleotides) under uncultured Neocallimastigales. Its description in RNAcentral is "partial large subunit ribosomal RNA". It matches the Rfam family "Eukaryotic large subunit ribosomal RNA", at positions 26 to 643 of the family's 3401-position model. Lineage: Eukaryota; Fungi; Neocallimastigomycota; Neocallimastigomycetes; Neocallimastigales. The record is from RNAcentral.